Melospiza melodia melodia is the source of this 1753-nucleotide long non-coding RNA. RefSeq lists it as uncharacterized. The transcript has 3 exons. Lineage: Eukaryota; Metazoa; Chordata; Aves; Passeriformes; Passerellidae. The record is from RefSeq and is a predicted model, not a curated record.
UGUUGGGAACUUUUCCACUGUGCUGGAGUUGUAGACAUGUUUUUUGUCAAGGACACCAGGAAAUGCUCAGCAAAGGAAAAGAUCUUGGAGCAUUUUGGAGCAGCCUUCCCAGCACAGAGAGUACAGGCUGGCCUGAUUCAUUUACCCUGGUUCUGGAAAUACUGAGCUGUGCAGGAGGAGAGGAACAUGUAGCCGUGGCAAGCCUUAGAGUUGCUGAAGUUGUGUGGAAGGCAAAGUGAAUUGCAAAGCCCUGUCUCAGCACCAAAGGCCCCAGGGAAGCUGCAGAGCCAUGUGGAGAGAGUUAUGGUGUUUGCUUCUGAUGUGCCUGUCCAGGGCGGGCUGAGGUCUCUGGAAGUGCAAGAGUUUCUGACCGUCAUGGCAGCAGAAGAAAGGCUGGAAACACAAUAAAAUGCAUCCUCGCCAUUUUUAAAAUAUCUUGGAUAUGCUGAAUGUUAUGAAAAAGCAUCAUAACAAUCAGUUUCUCAGUAGUGCUCAUCCACAGAAGCCAGCUGCUAACAAAUUUUGCCCUACAACAGGAAAAGCUGCCAGAGAAAGACUUAUGACAGGAGGGGAGGUUGUUUGUCCCUGCAUUGGAUGCCUGUGUUCAAUGUCCAGUAUGGGUUCUCCUGUUGGAACAAUAACUUUCAGGACUGGCAUAGGUGUGUUUGGACCCAGGUGACAGCAGAGAGGUGUAUUGGGCAGUCUGAUAUAUCUCAAAACACCUGUUAUUUACAAGCCUCUUUAAUUCUUGCCAGGCCCAUGCAGGGCUGGAGCACUUUCUCUGGCCACCUGUGUAGAGCAAGCCCAAGCUCUCAAGAAAACAGUAGGAAUUCAUAUCUGAGGAGCCAGCUGAUGGCACAGGGAAACCCAACUGUGCUGAAUGGCACCAAGUUUCUCCUGGUGUGCCCCAGCCUGGCCCAUCUUGUCUGACCUUGAGCUUUUGCCUUGUUUUUGAUACCAGGAGAUAGAAUUCAUGACUGCCCCUCAACAGGGUGGCUCUGUUCUACUUGGCAUAGUAUCUUUCAGUUUGCUCUCUCAAGGCUGUGUGGGUGGGUUAGAGUUACAAUCUGAAGCUUAAAUCAAGCUGUAGAAAGACCCUUCCUGAGAAUCAAAGGGCUCGCAUUUAAAUAUUGGUAUACGUGAUGUCAUGUCUACAGUUGCAGGUAAUAAAAUUUAUUUUUGUCCAGAUUUAUAUGUUUAAGAAGCCUAAUUUACAAAAUUAUAAAAACAGUUAAUAGCCUUCAGUCAAUAGAGGCACAAUUGUUUGCUGUGUUCAGUAUUUUGGUUGUUCUGCUUAUCAUGUUUGAGCAGGUCUGAGCUCUAACGCUGCCAUCCAUUACAACUACACAGACUUGUAGCUUUGAAGAUGCCUACAAUAUCCUUUGCCUCCCAUCCUAAAGCUCUGGAUUAAUGAAUAUACAGAGGACAUGAACAUCAGCCAGAUUUUCUAAGAAAGGUGGAAGAUAUUAGAGGCUUUUACUUGGCACAUCAUAUAUGCUUAAAAAAUUUGGGUUUUGAGAAAAUAAUCCUGAUGAGCGUGUUUGUCAUGUCUCUUCAAAUCAUACAAAAGCUUUUAUACCCUGUGGGCUUUCAAGCCUUUCUUUAUUAAAUACUCUGUAGCCUGUACUGAAGUAAUCUUCAACAUGAGGAUUUUGAGUGUAGUGAAAAUAAUUGCUUCUUAUAUGAUCCUGGUUUGUAACUGAAUAUAAAGUUAUGCUGGCACUACUGGUUUUGGUUCUUUUUUCUCCUUAGA